GCCCAAAUGGCGGAAUUGGUAGACGCGCUAGUUUCAGGGACUAGUGUUCAUUACGAACGUGCAGGUUCGAGUCCUGUUUUGGGCACCU
Molecule: transfer RNA, 88 nt
Filed under: Bacteroides sp. CAG:144
Lineage: Bacteria; Pseudomonadati; Bacteroidota; Bacteroidia; Bacteroidales; Bacteroidaceae
Also listed under: 1 other name
Description: transfer RNA-Leu(CAG)
Rfam family: tRNA
About the family: Transfer RNA (tRNA) molecules are approximately 80 nucleotides in length.
Source: RNAcentral